This 337-nucleotide unclassified non-coding RNA is filed under the name soil metagenome. RNAcentral's name for it is "partial contains 5.8S ribosomal RNA, internal transcribed spacer 2, and large subunit ribosomal RNA". The stretch from base 1 to 120 matches the Rfam family "5.8S ribosomal RNA", at positions 35 to 154 of the family's 154-position model. The record is from RNAcentral.
GAUGAAGAACGUAGCGAAAUGCGAUAAGUAAUGUGAAUUGCAGAAUUCAGUGAAUCAUCGAAUCUUUGAACGCACAUUGCGCCCGCCAGUAUUCUGGCGGGCAUGCCUGUUCGAGCGUCAUUUCAACCAUCAAGCCCCCCGGCUUGUGUUGGGGACCUGCGGCUGCCGCAGGCCCUGAAAAGCAGUGGCGGGCUCGCUGUCACACCGAGCGUAGUAGAUCUCAUCUCGCUCAGGGCGUGCUGCGGGUUCUGGCCGUUAAACCACCUUCAUAACCCAAGGUUGACCUCGGAUCAGGUAGGAAGACCCGCUGAACUUAAGCAUAUCAAUAAGCGGAGGA